Molecule: ribosomal RNA, 330 nt
Filed under: Triticum aestivum (bread wheat)
Lineage: Eukaryota; Viridiplantae; Streptophyta; Magnoliopsida; Poales; Poaceae
Description: partial small subunit ribosomal RNA
Source: RNAcentral
AUGAGUUCUUCGUCAUCUUCAUCUGGCGACGAUGAACUCAUACUUGCAGCAUUCGCCGAGCGGGAGGAGGAAGAGAGGAAGAACGGUCGACGCCAUGGCGGUUCCAAGCAUGGACGUCAGUCAAUCGAUCGAGGAAGAGAUGCCGGAUUUCUUCUUCUGUGGGACGACUACUUCAAAGAAGUUCCUCGCUUUCCCGAACAUUUGUUUCGACGAAGGUUCGUAAUUAGUACACUUCUCUGCUUUGGUCCUUUUUUCAUUUCCCUGUCUCAUUUAAUUUUUAUGCACAGAUUUAGGAUGUCGCGUACUUUGUUCAACCGCGCGCAUAGCUGA